UAGUGGAAGAGAUGACUUUGAGAAAGGCGCACAUGCAGAGUUGGUCAAUAAAACUAGAGAAGAACUAUGGAUCAUUAAGCUGAGUCGGGCCGCAACAGUGAGAGGAAGACGGGUGAUGGAACUCGCGUCGGAGACAAAGAUGACCCGGGGGAUAGAUCAACACUCGUGCAGGCUGCCUUCAUUAAACUAUGGGCUGCAUGUACUAUGAGUUCGGAUGUACCUUCAGUCUCCACAGAGGAUAGGUGGAGUCUGUGUCUCUGUUGAAGAACCUGGUGGUCUUUGUCCCUGCGCUCAACAGAUAUUCUGCAGGCAGACCCUGAGUCUGUGAGAUGUACCGGAUCUUCAAGACAAAA
Phycodurus eques (leafy seadragon) is the source of this 353-nucleotide long non-coding RNA. RefSeq lists it as uncharacterized. The transcript has 3 exons. The record is from RefSeq and is a predicted model, not a curated record. Lineage: Eukaryota; Metazoa; Chordata; Actinopteri; Syngnathiformes; Syngnathidae.